GCCGGGCGCCGUGGCGACGCUUGUAAUCCCAGCGGCUCGGGAGGCUGAGGCAGGAGGAUCAAAGUUCAAGGCCAGCCUCAGCAAGGGCCAAGCUCUAAGCAACUUCAGUGAGACCCUGUCUCUA
Molecule: small RNA, 124 nt
Filed under: Marmota monax (woodchuck)
Lineage: Eukaryota; Metazoa; Chordata; Mammalia; Rodentia; Sciuridae
Source: RNAcentral